This is a long non-coding RNA of Orcinus orca (killer whale), 7606 nucleotides long. RefSeq lists it as uncharacterized. The record is from RefSeq and is a predicted model, not a curated record. Lineage: Eukaryota; Metazoa; Chordata; Mammalia; Artiodactyla; Delphinidae. The transcript is spliced from 2 exons.
CGCAGCAGCCUCCGCCUGAGGCCUCGUCUGCACCGCCCAGGCCCCGCAGACCGUGCCUCUGCCAGCCAAUCGCGCGCCGCGCCUGGGAGAAACGCGGACGUCCACCAAUCACGAGCGCGCCACUCGAAGCUCCUCGGCCAAUGCGGAGGCGGCCUACCUAGGCUCCCAGCCAAUCGAGAACUGUUGCCGAGCCGUGGGGCGGGGAAAUGGGCGGGGCUCAGCGGCGGUGCGCGGCGCGGAGGGGGCGGGGCGAGAGAGCCGGGAGGAGGGGCGGAGGGGCUCCAGUCUCAGGGAGGGUCUCUGUCCAGAGGAGGACCCCGGUCUCAGGAGAACCUGGGUCUCGGCCGGCAACAGCCAGGCCGUCCCGCGCCGUGGCCGCCAUCCCUGCAACACCCGUCCCUGCGCUCCGUGGCUGUCUUCGAGCCCCUGCUCCCCACACCCAGAAACUGUGCGGUCUCCGAGCUCCGUCCGCUUUCCCAGGUGUGCGCGCCUGGCCGCAGGUGCGCUCCUCCGAGGCGGAACGUGGCGGAGCUGGGCCCUCCGGCUGCUGCCCCGGGGCCUGCCGAGGACACCUGCGCCUUCCUGACCUGCAGGCUUCUCCAACCACGGACCACACAGAUAACAACAGGCCACUUUUGGCGACUAGAAAAUGUGAGAUUUCAUAGGUGGCACUCAUGGUGUUUCUAGUGGACAGCAGUGUAGACAUCCGCGGACACUUCUGGGUAAGGAUUCCACACGGAAGGCAGGUCACAGAAGCAAUCUUCUUCCUCCCAAUAAUUACGAAAUGACCGAGACCAGCUUAAAAGAAGAAAAGAUAUUUCACCGGCAACAACAAACAGGGAAGGGUGCAAAGCCACAUGCCAUAAGGCCAAAGGAGGGGAUGAGAUACUGGCGGGGCUCCAUGGGACCCCCCAGUACAUGAUGAAAGGAAGCUCACGAAAUCCUGAGGGUCCCGCCAAGUUUGAGAGGAACAGCAGAGGAUGUGCAGGCAGCAUCGGGAAAGGCACGAAAAAGCCUUUGAGAGUAGAAGCCGGUGCUUCCCAUCCUGGGCCCGUGGUGGUGCAAGGCAAGGCCAGCAGCCUCUCAAAUCACUUCAGCCCCCCCCGCUCCCUCCCCAGCUCAGAAUCCGGAAUCUGAAUGCCUCUCAGCCUUGGUGGAGGUGAGCACCAAGGCUGGGCUCACCAUUUAGGCCUCCAGGCUGAGGAGUGGGGAGCAGCCGGCGGGGGCGGGGGGACACGGGGAACGGGGAAAUGUCCCUGGCAAAAAAAACAACAGAAACAGGCCCUUAGAACACUCACCAGCAAGAGGAAACAAGCAGGACAAGAUGCCCUGAUGGAGGAAGCAGUAGCUGACAGCCCCCCACCUCCAGCACACAGUGAUGGGAGGAAACCCAUGACUCUCCCUGCUCGUGUCUCCUCCACCUGCAGGGAAAGAGGCUGCAACCAGGGACAGACACCCCUGGUGCCGACUCAGGUGAGGCCUGGAGGUCUUCUCUGGAGGGACUGUGCCCACCCUGACCACUUCCAUCUCGUUUAUGCUGGCUUCGGCCGGCUUCAGCUGGUUGGUAUCGGUCUGUACCGGUGGGUGGGUAUGAAUGAGUUCACCUGGCACUGCAGCUGCUCCGGGCCCUUCAGCACAGCCACAGACACCUGGAGAGCAGCCAGCCCUGCUCCUCUGGAGGCCGAGGCCCGAGCAGGAAGAGACUUCCCCAUAGGCACCGUCAGGGGCGUUGGGAGUCUUCCCUCCCCUCGCUGUGCUGGCCCCGGUGCCCAUGCUUUCUGCCUUCCAUCUCCCUCUUGCUGUGGUCCUACUCCACGAGGUCUUCCCCGCCUGUGCCCACCCGUGCCCACCUGUGCCCCUUGACUUCAACCCCAGCGUGCUCACCUGGACAGCUUCUUGGGCACUUACUCCCAGUCUUUCUUCUUAUUGGGACUGCAUUAAUUUAACAUAUGUUUACUGCAUGCCUACUGUGUGCCCCAUACUUAGUAGGUGUUGGGAUCCACCGAUGAAAAUCAAGUUUGCUGCCCACCUGACACACCUGCUUCCAGCAGGAAGAGACUUGCGUAACAGAUACGUGUGUUUGUGCGUGUGUCUUAUGCCUACAGAGUGAGAAUUCACUAUUCAAGAAAGCAAAAUGGGUGGAAACACUGCUUUCUAGAUGGAAAAACAAAAGAAAUCUUCAGGUGACAGGUAGUUGGAGUGAGACAAUCACAGUGCAGGAAGCUAACCUGGAGCCUGAUGUCUUAUGGAGUUAGAUCACAGGAGGGAAGAGAUAAACUCCAAGAACAAAGCUAGUUUUCCUUGAAAAAGAAAACAGCGCUCACAGUUUCAUAUGUGCAGAGACGGGGCAUGAAAUGUACUCAGGAAAUGACAAGCUGUUAACUGAAAAAUGUAGGUUCUAUAUGAUUCCGUGUGUGUACAGACACACACACACGCACAGAGCACAGAAAAUUGCCAGUGAUUCUAUCCAAGUGGGGCUUCGUAAAUUGUUUUCUUAUUUGACUUUACCUGUAUUUUGCACAAAAUACUAAGAAAUUUUUACAAAUUUUAGAAGUUUAGAAAUGUUAAACUAUGGAAAAAGUACAGUAAUAUGCACACUGACUCCACUGUCCUAAAUUAACAACUAAUAUUUUGCCGUUUUCUCAUUGAAAUUUUAUUUUUAAAGAAAUAAAACUAGAUUCCAGAUGAAUGACCACCUAAAUGAAAAGGAACACUAGGGGGGCUUCCCUGGUGGCACCGUGGUUGAGAAUCUGCCUGCCAAUGCAAGGGACGCGAGUUCGAGCCCUGGUGCGGGAAGAUCCCACAUGCCGCGGAGCAACUAAGUCCGGGCGCCACAACUACUGAAGCACGCACACCUAGAGCCCGUGCUCCGCAACAAGAGAAAGACUUCGUGCAGCAACAAAGACCCAACGCAGCCAAAAAUUAAACAAAUAAAAAAAUUAAAUUAAAAAAAGAAAAGGAACACUACGAUGUCAAAAGAAGAUAAUGAAGGAGGCUCUGUUUCCCAGGGGUGGGGAAGGAUUUCUUAAAACAAACCUCAAAAGCACAGACCUUAUGAUGAAACAUUGAUGGAUCUGAUUACAUCAAAAUGAAAGAUGUGUGCUCAAUAAAGAUACCACGAACAAGCCAGCAGACAAAUGACAGGUCAGAAGAUAUCUGCCAUCUUUAAAAGACAAGGAGCUACUGUUUAGAAUAUACAAGAAGCUCCUGCAAAUCAACAAGAAAAAGAGGAAUGCAAUAGGAAAAUGGGCAAAGGAUGGGAACAGGCAAUCCACAGAAAAAGAAACUUAAAUGCAGGACAAGAAUAUAAUAAAGAGUUGCUUCAGCCCAUUAGUAAUCAGAGAAAUGCAAAUUCAAGUAACUCCACACCACUCUAUCCCCAUCAGAUCGGCAACCAUCAGAGUGGACGACACCGAGUAUUGGCGGGUGUGUGGACGGCCCAAGCAAGCUCAGGGGGAGGGUCCCUGGAGCAGUCAGGGUCACAGAGACAGCAAGGAGGAGGGUGGGCACCAGGGGCUGGAGGAGGGGGAUGGGGGUUAGUGUUUAAUGGGGGCAGAGUCUCAGUUUGGGAAGAUGAGAAAGUUCUGGAGACGGACAGUGGUGACGUUGCACAACAAUGUGAAUAUUCUUAAUACCCCUAAACUGGACAUUGAAAAAUGGUUAAGUUGGUAAAUGUUAUGUGAAUUUUAGUACAAUUUUGUGGCAUCUGGAAAGCAGCCUCCCCGAGGUACCUCCUGUGGAUGAAAUCCUCCCACUGAUUAUAAAACCCACCUGCUUGGGGGCUUUAACCCGUUCCAAGGGGAAAGGGCAGCAUGAAAAUAGUGACCCAGGAACCGGAUGGGCCAGAGUGAAGGCUGCUCCCAACAUGGGGCACAGGUGUCCAGACUCGUGUAACUGGGAGUGAAGAUGCUGGGAGGUUUCAACUCCCCAGGCAUCUCUCCUGUGCCCUCUGCAGCCCCCACCCCUUUCCACCGCCUGUCCUUAGCCCCUGGAAACCACUAGCCUGCCAUCUUUUCCUAAAGUUUUGUCAUUUCAGAAAUGUUGUAUAAGGACUUCCCUGCUGGUCCAGUGGUUAAGACUCCACACUCCAAAUGCAGGGGGCCCGGGUUUGAUCCCUGAUCAGGGGACCAGAUCCUACAUGCAUGCCACAACUAAGAGCCCACAUGCUGCAACUAAAGGUACCACACGCUGCAAUAAAUAUCGGACAUGCCGCAAGUAAGACCCGGCACAGCCAAAUCAAUCAAUCAAUCAAUAAAUAUUUUGUAAACAGCGUUGUAUAAAUGGUAUCAUACGGUAUGUCAACUUUUGAGGUUGGCUUUUUAAACUCGGCACGAUUCCUGGAGAUUCACUCAAGUUGGUAUGUUUAUUAGUAUUUGGAUCUGUGUGGUUUGUUGUGGUUUUUUUUUGGCUGCACCACGUGGCUUGUGGGAUCUUAGUUCCCUGACCAGGGACUGACUCUGGGCCCUGGCAGUGAAAGCUUGGAGCCCUAACCACUGGACCACCAGGGAAUUCCCAUGGAUCUGUUUUAAUACGAGACUUUUUAAAAGGAGGUUGCAAACACGAUAGGACUAAUCAAUUGGACCAUGACAUGGAUCUUUCUGUCGUGGUGAGUAGGACGCUGUCCCUCCUCCUGUCCUCUCUGACGACACUUCUCUGAAGUUUGGGGACACCCUUCUUUCAUGCAGCAGGAAAUGGGACACAGAGAGACGUACACUUCACGCUGACUGGAGCCACAACACCUGGACUCCCAGCGUCAUCCAUGUGAUGACGACGUCCUGACAGCACCCGGGCUUAGACUUGUGGGGACCUGUUCCCGUUCUCAAAAGGUGCCCACCCUCCUGGUGGCCGCAGACAUAUGCUGGUGCCCGGCUGUUUAUGCAUCAGGUCCUUUGCAUCUGUGAGUUUAUCACACAGGCUUCCACGUCUCAAAUGUCCAUUCUUAAAUGCCCCGAAGCGUAUUGGAAGUCACCGUAAGGUAAACUUCUCCUUCUCGGGGAUGUGGCUGUAAGGCAGAGGUAACUGAGAUUUGAAUUCAAAGUGGGAUUCUUUUGAGUUCUGAAGCAUUUCUAUUGUCAUACAGUGAGUGUUUUUGCCUGUGGUGAGUCACUGUCACAAUCUACACAGACCAUCACACAACCAGGUGCAGCCAGUUCACCCACUUGUGGCCUCUUUAAAGACCCUCCAACUGGCUGGAGAAAAGCAUAUGAACCUCUGUCUUCCUGUAGACCCUGAGUCCGUUCUCAUCCCUGAUGUAUUUCCAGACUAGAGGACGGCACUCCUUUCCCGCACUGUGAGAGAUAGGCUUUGACGGCAACCAGCAUGUGCACAUCUUUCCUAUGACCGCCAACAACGACAGGUAUCUUGUAGGAAGUAUCUAAGAGGCUUCUGCUUCCAUUUCUAUGGUCAGAAGUCUCCUUACUUCUGCAUAUUCAGAGGAAAGUGAAAGGUGACCCAAACUUGCCUUAUGAAAAGCCCAACAUUGCAGGUAAGCAGAUCUCACCUUUAUGGGCAGAGUUGUGUGUAAAGGCUGGAGGACAUUUAGCAGCUAAGGUCUGUUCAUUUCUUUGGUAAGAAGAUCACUGACUGAGUCUGCCAGAAUUCACCUUUGCACCGGCACCAAACACGCAGACGGAUGAGCACAGAUGAGUUUGUGGACAAGAUAAUGACAAUCUUUGUUUUAUGUAUUCUGCAGUCUCAUGAAACUCUUCACAGACAUCAAGAAGACGAUUUGAAACUCCUCUCUUCCAAUCAAAGCAGCUAAGAGCUGGAAGAACAGUGUUUUGCUGCCAGGAUCGCAUGGGUCUCAUUGGGGUGAGAUCUGAAGGGUCAGCUCUACGCUGUCAGGGCAGGAGCCACAUCUCUUAGCAAAACCUUAGUUCCAGUCUCAGAAUGCGGAAAUGUCACUACUCAGCUCCACAGGGCGUGAAGGGACAAUGCGUCGCCAAGCUCCAGCAGCGGUUACUGACCACCUGUGGCUUUGGAGAGACAAAAAGUCGCGGCUGGUUUACAAGAACUUUCCUGUCACGUCAGGGACUCGAGGUCAGUCCCCACCUGUGCCUUCACCCCCUCCAUCUGAAAGUCCGUAUCCAGAUCUGUGCAACCCCAGAGCCCGAGGCUUUAGCCGCUAUGCAAACUGCCACACUCAUAACUGCAGUUUAGAAAACAUAAGAAAGUAUUUAAAAAAUUUUUAAAAACCCAUAGAUCACUUUAAUCCCAUCACCCAGAGCUAACUUUUGUAAAUAUUUUUAUGUCUGUUCUGUCACUUUCUGUGUACACAUGCGUACAUUUUUACAGAAGUGCACCCUGUAUGUGCCACUUUGCAGCCUGCUUCUCCACCUAGGAUGCCUGUGGACACUCUUCUCCGCCCACAGACAGAAGUCAAGCUCUCAGUGCAGAGAAGAACUGAGCACAGGCAGUUUCUCCUCUUCUCACCUAAGGCUUCCUUGAAAGGAUUAGUGGAGAAGCACAGAAAGGAGGUGGGUGGGGAUGGGAGACGUCAGUAGAUGAGAGCAUUCAGCAAAUCUGGGCAAGGAGAAAAGCAGUUAGAAGAGUGGCGGAGGAAGCAGCAUCCCAGAAUAGGCACGGGGGUGGGGAAGGGGCUGGGGGUGGCCUGGGCAGAGGCGGAGGCUUGUCUGUCCUGGUCUCAGAGGCUCAGCUUCGGGGUAGGGCUGACACCGGGGAUUAACCAGAGCUCUGGGUUGAACAACUGUUCCCUCCCAAACGCAGGCCACAGAGCAACUGGCAGCUGGCCUGGCUCCCUGGUCCAGAAGCCAGAUUUCUCUUCUCCAAACAAAUCAAGCAAACUGCUUGGUGCUUUUAGGGUGGGGCGGGGCUCCCCAAGGAAUUCCUCCGUCGGUCCGGCACCUGGUAACCCUUACCCUUGGACAGGACACUCCCGUCAACCUUUCUAUUUAGGAGAGAGGCCUGUCAAGGAAACUGAGGUAGCUGGAAUAACCAAGUAAGAUCUGACCACGCCGAGUGAUGGGAAAGAUUCAGAGCGAAUGGAACUCUCAUACAUUUCUGGUGGGACCGUCAAAUGUUACAACUACUCUGGAAAACAGAUCAGCAGUUUAUAAUAUAGCUAAGCCUACACUUUUUAUGCCAUCCAGCGAUUCCACCCCUCAGCAUUCGCCCAGGCAAAAUGAAGACGUAUGUCCACGCAGAGACUUGCAUACGAACGUUUCUAGCAGCGUUAUUCAAAACUGAACAGGAAGCACCCAAACGUCCCUCAACUGAUGAGCAGAUAAAAAAUUGUGAUACAAUGGAAUACGACUCAGCAAUAAAAAUGGAAUGAAUAACUGCUACAUGCAAAAGUGUGGCUAAGUCUCAAAAACACUGUGUUGAGCAUGACAAUAUAGAAAUGACAUUGUAAUCUGUAAUGUCAGAAGGCAGAUCAGUGGCUGCCCAGGGCCUGGCUGCGGAGUGGGGUUUGACUCGGAAGGGGACCAAAAAAACUUUGGGGGGUAAUGGAAACAUUCUAUAUCUUGAUUGUGAUGGUAAUUGCACAACUGUAUAUAUUUGUCAAAACUCAGCAAAAUAUACACUUAAAAUGGGACCAUUUCAUUGUAUGUAAAUUAAAUCUGAAUAAAAUUCAUUUAAAGAAAAA